GCCGGUGUAGCUCAGUCGGUAGAGCAACUGAUUCGUAAUCAGUAGGUCACCAGUUCGAUUCCGGUCACCGGCACCA
This 76-nucleotide transfer RNA is filed under the name Methylogaea oryzae. RNAcentral describes it as "tRNA-Thr". It matches the Rfam family "tRNA". From Rfam's summary of the family: Transfer RNA (tRNA) molecules are approximately 80 nucleotides in length. Their secondary structure includes four short double-helical elements and three loops (D, anti-codon, and T loops). Lineage: Bacteria; Pseudomonadati; Pseudomonadota; Gammaproteobacteria; Methylococcales; Methylococcaceae. The record is from RNAcentral.